RNA transcript from Haliotis rubra (blacklip abalone), 3831 nucleotides. RefSeq lists it as uncharacterized. The record is from RefSeq and is a predicted model, not a curated record. The transcript has 4 exons. NCBI's taxonomy places the organism in Eukaryota, Metazoa, Mollusca, Gastropoda, Lepetellida, Haliotidae.
UGUGUCAUGCUUAUCCGCAUCCAUGCAUGACGAGUCGGAAAUCACGACCUCUACCAUGACGUUGACAUGCACAUUAUUAUAAAACAGUUUCAGAUGACGGAGACGUUAGAAGGCCCUUGGAUCCGUCAAGUCAACACGAGCGACAGAUACUUGUCGGUACAGUAAACAGCCGAAACAUAUCCCUGGCUUCCAGUUUUCACGUUCCCUCCUUCUAGACAACUGUUCGCAAUGCUGCUGGUGAUGAUGAUGUUGCUGACGGUUGUGCAAACAAGGGUAAUCUUUCUCCACAAAGAAACAAGCCAAGAUGCAGUACCACAUUACCUAAGAGGGACGCCGAACCCGCCAGAUCGUGUUGUAUCUAGAGGCGAAGCUGGCUCCCUGCGGUAUCUUGGGACACCAUGGCCCCAUGGGAGGAAACGCACAGACGCCAUAUUCGACCCUAACUGUGACCCAACAGAAAGGAACGUCAAACUGUUAACAAAUAGUGGACGCGUUAAUAUAGAUAUCUCACUUAGUCCUGGUCAAGCUUCACAAAAUGUCCCUGGCCAACAAAAGAGUAGUAAACACAUUGUAAAAAGACCUGGUGUUAUAUGGAGUAAAAACGUCGAUGUCGAUGGACGUGCUUUGAAAGAUACCUUAAACGACCAGAUUGUACAAACUCCAUCAGAUGGCAGAAAGGGUGGUAAAGCUUUUGAAAGGACACCCGGUGUCACAUGGAAUACAAAAGAUGAUGGACGUGUUGGCAAACAUAACUCAAUUCCUGUCAGUGCUGGGUCAGAUUUAUGGACACCGGGUGUCAACUUUGAAAAGAGGAGGGGUAGCCAUGACGUUGGAAGGAGGCCGGGUGUUCCUUGGAGUAGAACAGUGGAUGGUGGAAGGUUCCCUAGUUCGACAGUGAAUCGUGCAAUGGGUGCAAAACAAUUUGAUGUUGACAUAAAUCCAAUGAUGGAUUUUAUUGGAACUGUAGUCCCUUUUUACAGGCCUAGGACAGGACCUGGGGCUCCGACACCAUUACGAAUUCUAUCUCACAUUCAUCAUUCUCAUGGUCAAUGGCCAGAACACAGCCAUGUCCUCAGACACUUUAGUUUCUUACGCGGGUCAGGGAGACACACUCAAACAAGUAACCCUUCCCCGUUCAUUGUGCAACGUUUGCUGGUGACACCCAAACCAAUACGUGGUGUGUUACCUCGUCUGUUAGGACCAGUCCCAGCAUGCAACCCUUCCAACUAGUACACCUACGGUAUCGAUAACCAACAGACAGUUUGUGCCUGACAUCAGAGCCAUGUCAGGUCAUACUCCUACAGUCUUAGGAGACGGUACCAACAAAAGUAGAAACAGAAAAAUCAAUAGAAUAAACCAAUCGUUAGGUUCUAUGGAAAUUGAGAAUAUAAACAGGGUCUCGUCUACUUCUAGCACUGUCACGCCGUUUAAAAUAGCCACUGCUAUAUCCCUUGAGGUCAGUACUGCCAAACCCUUUGAAAUGAGAACCGCCACACCACUUGAAGAAGGUACUGCCAAACCCUUUGAAGUAAGAACCGCCACCCGUCUUGAAGCGCGUACUAUCACGCCGUCUGAAAAGAGCGAUGUUACUCCAUCAAUCAACACUGCCACACCGUUUGAAGUAAGAUCUGCCAUACACCCUGAAGUCAACACUGCCAAACCCUUUGAAGUAAGAACCGCAACACCCCUUGAAGCGAGUACUGCCAAACCCUUUGAAGUAAGAACCGCAACACCCUUUGAAGCGAGUACUGCCAAACCCUUUGAAGUAAGAACCGCCUCACAUCCUGAAAUCAACAUUGCCACGUCCCUUGAAGUGAGUUCUGCCAAACCCAUGGAAGUAAGAACCGCCACUCCCCUUGGAACACAAACUAUCACGUCCUUUGAAGGAAGUACCUUCCCAAAUUCUGUACAGAGCACGGGCCUACCCUCAACGAUGAGCCCUUCCUCAGUGAUGACUCCGACAGCAGAUGCACAGGAUGUGGAAAUCAGACACUUUGAUGGCCUGAUUUUCGGUACGUCUGGCACUUUAGCCUCCAAUGCGUUACUUCACGAGCGACUUAGCAGCCAGUGGCAGUCUCUUGGACAACGUAUGCAGGAGAUAGCUAAUAAGGUCAACGGUGGAGGGACGGUCACACAACAAACCAGGUGAAAGAACUAUACUCUUUGCGGCUGUGCUUGACUUCACUGCGUGAGGGACACAACACGACACAACAAACAGUGGAGUGAAGGUAGACAACAAGUACAUCUGUUCACGGUGACAACAUACAAGCGACAAGGAUCAUCUACGUGUCUGGUUGAUGUAUAUUCGUCCUGUCAAGGAACCCAAGGGAAACUCGACCUUGACCAUCCUAUUUCGGACAUGAGAUUAUACGUUUUGCUGAAUACCUUCGCACUGACGGGGACUAGCAUAACAGUUCAGAGGAUCAGCUGUCAUCCCUUACACGCCAUGAUGGUGGUCUGUUCUGGAAUUCCAUUGUCAUUUAAGUGCCAUCUUGGUAGUUUUCCAUUGAUAGCUAUUUGUUAUUAUGUGGUGUGACAUAAUGCUCAUCCAGUGAUUGAGGUAUAACAACAUGUAGUUCUGUUGAGUAAGCAGUUUAAACAUUGUUACAAUGCAUCAGCUACAGAACGUAUUGCGGUCUUAGACAGACAAAAAUAUAGCCCAGCUAUGUCGGAGUCAGAAAUAACCUACUUAUAUUACGCCAGCUGGUAAAUAAUCGAUCUUAUAAUGUAUUGAUAUUAGUUGGGGAUACGUUGAAUCUUUUUUAAACGUGUCUGCAGGUUAUUGCUUGAAAUGAAGGGACUGUCGCUCUCGACAGAAAUUGGAACCGUCUUGUACUACAAUUACUAUACGUACUUAUGUUUUAAUUUAACCUGAAUUAAGCUCUAUAACCAGUUUGGUCAGGUGACGAUAUGCUGUUUAUUCUCAGCAGUACGACCACAGUACCCUGUCAACACGAUGGCACCGGACCCGAUAGUAAAUAGUUCAUCUAGACAUCUUCCUCUACAGAAACACCGUUGGUGCGGCGAUAAGCAACAUUCAUUUUGUAUAGCCAUGAGUGAGUGAGUGAGUGAGUGAGUUCAUCGAGUGAUUGAGCGAGUGAGUGAGUGGGGUGGGUUUAGGGAAAGCCCGAAAGCUAUGCUACUUCGAUGAUACCAACGAGCACGGGCAUGCUGCUGACAAACCUAUUAACAGAUUACGGCCACGAUCAUACUUUCCUGGCGUGUCCAAGGUACGCAACUCUGUACAGCACAUUGCGGCGCCUAAUGAUACUGGGCCACCCUUGCCCCGAUGAAGCGGUUGAGGUAGUGGGGUCCCAUUCCGACUAGGAUCUCCUUUUUUGCGCCUUUUUUAAACUAUUAUUUUAGCUUUAGUAAUCGAUACAGACUUAUACUAUGAAUAUGCUUGGACAGUGGAAAUACUAUUGAUGUAUUAUUUAUACUGGUAUUUUGUGUGACAUUUGUAAGAUAGACUUUAUGUGUUUCUGAUUUGUGUGUUUCAGUGAGUACCGGAUACUUUAACAUGGCAUUAGUCCGCAGCAUAAACAGAUAUUCAUUUUACAGCAGUUAAUAAAAGGUCUCAUUAUUAACAUAAAGAUACUGUAUUAUGUAUUACGGCAAGCUGUUCUUGUGUGAUGUAUUGUUUAUGUUACAAAUGUAUGGUUGAUCGCAGAUAAAACAGUGGAUCGAUAUUAUAUUGGUGUUUUGGUUGCUGUUGUUGCAAUUUGUAAAUAUAGAUACUUAAACAGCUGGGCAAUGAUCGAUCUCUCACAGCGCUAAUAUCGCUUUGAUUAGCCAGUAGCCAACAGUUUAAAUAAAACUCAAUUAUGCAUA